CAGAUCUUUUUUCAUUUGGGGGCUGAAGGAAACAGUGGUGCUUUGGCCUUGCUUUUUGCACAUUUGUGGAGCCCUUCAAUCUCCUUGGUAGCAAUAGAGCGAGUCUUUUGCCGUUCAACUUGAGCAGUAACAGGGGCAGUGUCAACUUUUGUACCUAUACCAGUGGUCACUCCAAUCUCCAAAUUUUCAUAACCACCAGUAAUGAUGUUGGAUCCCUCAGAACCAACAACGGUUGUAUCACCAACAAGAUUAGGAUCAAGUUCAGUGAUAUUGGUAAUGAGUUCAUCAGUAAAAGAUGAAGGAUUGUAUGUUUGCUGGGUAGCCAUAUCAACAACAGUUUCUUGAACAAAAUGGGAAUUGGGGUUACCCUGUUGAACCGC
RNAcentral lists this long non-coding RNA (380 nucleotides) under Gossypium raimondii (Peruvian cotton). RNAcentral's name for it is "long non-coding RNA (GRAI_LNC009782)". Lineage: Eukaryota; Viridiplantae; Streptophyta; Magnoliopsida; Malvales; Malvaceae. The record is from RNAcentral.